UGUCUUCCUUACAGUGUGCAAGCGAGGC
This 28-nucleotide non-coding RNA is filed under the name Rattus norvegicus (Norway rat). The record is from RNAcentral. Lineage: Eukaryota; Metazoa; Chordata; Mammalia; Rodentia; Muridae.